Molecule: transfer-messenger RNA, 346 nt
Filed under: Nitrospiria
Lineage: Bacteria; Pseudomonadati; Nitrospirota
Also listed under: 1 other name
Description: JACPZM01 sp016195485 Standard tmRNA
Rfam family: transfer-messenger RNA
About the family: Bacterial tmRNA, also known as 10Sa RNA or SsrA, is named for its dual tRNA and mRNA-like properties. Its role is to liberate the mRNA from a stalled ribosome. To accomplish this part of the tmRNA is used as a reading frame that ends in a translation stop signal.
Source: RNAcentral
GGGGGCGACUGGUUUCGACGGGGAUAAGAAGGCAAAAGACGCAUGCCGAGGUCCAUUGGGCUCGUUAAACAAAUGGAAAAAACAUAGUUGCUAACGAAGAGUUAGCCCUCGCUGCCUAACGGCAGCGACGUCGACCAUUCUACGCCUACGGGGAUGGAAGAUGUCAGAUAGUGGGCUCGCCUGGCCUUCACGCUUUUGGGGGGAUUAGGUUAAAUGAGGAAGCUGGCUUUUGGUUAAACCUGUCUUUGGGUGUAAUCGAAGGUAAGAUUUAAAACAAAGACUUUGCAUGGAGUGGCUUUUGUUGGAUUAUUUUCGGACGCGGGUUCAAUUCCCGCCGCCUCCACCA